Non-coding RNA from Rattus norvegicus (Norway rat), 278 nucleotides. The record is from RefSeq and is a predicted model, not a curated record. NCBI's taxonomy places the organism in Eukaryota, Metazoa, Chordata, Mammalia, Rodentia, Muridae.
GGCAGCCGUCCAGCCUUCCAUGCAGCAGCAGAAGUCCAUGCCCAUUCAGUGAUGUGCAGUGUAGCAUGUUCUAUGCAAGACACAAUGGAGGUGUCGAGGACACAUUGGUGGGUGAAAUCAAAUCCUCUCUCUGUCCAGAGCCACAUUUCAACAAGUGCCAUGAAGGACUCAUUUUGAAGAUCUCCGCUAUAACUAAUACACCACCAAGGGUUUGGGUGACUAAAUGUGGUUUCUGUGUAAACCUCUUGUGUAUGAACUAUAAAAAUGAAAAAGCAAUA